AGAGUUUGAUCCUGGCUCAGGAUGAACGCUAGCUACAGGCUUAACACAUGCAAGUCGAGGGGAAACGAUAUUGGAAGCUUGCUUCCGAUAGGCGUCGACCGGCGCACGGGUGAGUAACGCGUAUCCAACCUGCCCAUCACUUGGGGAUAACCUUGCGAAAGUAAGACUAAUACCCAAUGACGUCUCUAGAAGACAUCUGAAGGAGAUUAGAGAUUUAUCGGUGAUGGAUGGGGAUGCGUCAGAUUAGCUUGUUGGCGGGGUAACGGCCCACCAAAGCUACGAUCAGUAGGGGUUCUGAGAGGAAGGUCCCCCACAUUGGAACUGAGACACGGACCAAACUCCUACGGGAGGCAGCAGUGAGGAAUAUUGGUCAAUGGACGAGAGUCUGAACCAGCCAAGUAGUGUGCAGGAUGACGGCCCUAUGGGUUGUAAACUGCUUUUAUAAGGGAAUAAAGUGAGCCUCGUGAGGCUUUUUGCAUGUACCUUAUGAAUAAGGACCGGCUAAUUCCGUGCCAGCAGCCGCGGUAAUACGGAAGGUCCGGGCGUUAUCCGGAUUUAUUGGGUUUAAAGGGAGCGUAGGCCGGAGAUUAAGCGUGUUGUGAAAUGUAGACGCUCAACGUCUGCACUGCAGCGCGAACUGGUUUCCUUGAGUACGCACAAAGUGGGCGGAAUUCGUGGUGUAGCGGUGAAAUGCUUAGAUAUCACGAAGAACUCCGAUUGCGAAGGCAGCUCACUGGAGCGCAACUGACGCUGAAGCUCGAAAGUGCGGGUAUCGAACAGGAUUAGAUACCCUGGUAGUCCGCACGGUAAACGAUGGAUGCCCGCUGUUGGUCUGAAUAGGUCAGCGGCCAAGCGAAAGCAUUAAGCAUCCCACCUGGGGAGUACGCCGGCAACGGUGAAACUCAAAGGAAUUGACGGGGGCCCGCACAAGCGGAGGAACAUGUGGUUUAAUUCGAUGAUACGCGAGGAACCUUACCCGGGCUUGAAUUGCAGAGGAAGGAUUUGGAGACAAUGACGCCCUUCGGGGCCUCUGUGAAGGUGCUGCAUGGUUGUCGUCAGCUCGUGCCGUGAGGUGUCGGCUUAAGUGCCAUAACGAGCGCAACCCCUCUCCUUAGUUGCCAUCAGGUUAAGCUGGGCACUCUGGGGACACUGCCACCGUAAGGUGUGAGGAAGGUGGGGAUGACGUCAAAUCAGCACGGCCCUUACGUCCGGGGCUACACACGUGUUACAAUGGCAGGUAC
Molecule: ribosomal RNA, 1241 nt
Filed under: metagenome
Description: bacterial SSU rRNA
Rfam family: Bacterial small subunit ribosomal RNA
Source: RNAcentral